RNAcentral lists this ribosomal RNA (463 nucleotides) under uncultured bacterium. RNAcentral's name for it is "partial 16S ribosomal RNA". It matches the Rfam family "Bacterial small subunit ribosomal RNA", at positions 339 to 795 of the family's 1533-position model. The record is from RNAcentral.
CUACGGGGGGCUCCAGUGGGGAAUUUUGGACAAUGGGCGCAAGCCUGAUCCAGCAAUGCCGCGUGCAGGAUGAAGGCCUUCGGGUUGUAAACUGCUUUUGUACGGAGCGAAACGGUCUACUCUAAUACAGUGGGCUAAUGACGGUACCGUAAGAAUAAGCACCGGCAACUACGUGCCAGCAGCCGCGGUAAUACGUAGGGUGCAAGCGUUAAUCGGAAUUACUGGGCGUAAAGCGUGCGCAGGCGGUUAUAUAAGACAGAUGUGAAAUCCCCGGGCUUAACCUGGGACCUGCAUUUGUGACUGUAUAGCUAGAGUACGGUAGAGGGGGAUGGAAUUCCGCGUGUAGCAGUGAAAUGCGUAGAUAUGCGGAGGAACACCGAUGGCGAAGGCAAUCCCCUGGACCUGUACUGACGCUCAUGCACGAAAGCGUGGGGAGCAAACAGGAUUAGAUACCCGUGUAGUC